GUACAUAAUAAAAGAUGGUGAUGUGAAGAUAGCUGAAGAUCUCCAUUUUCUUUUCCCUGAAAGCAGCAGAGAAGGAAGGUCAAGGAGCUUGCCUGAUCUUGAAAGAGAAGAGAUGAAAAAUAUCUGUGAUGGGAGGAACUGAAGAACAUUUUCGAAGGGUUUUUACAGAGCUGCAGAUUAUAACUGUAUGACAAAAGUACAGUUCCCAGCACCUACAUCACUCACCUGGGAAUGAAAAAUGUCUCAGUGGGAGCUCCUAAUUACCCACACGAGUGGAACAG
Molecule: long non-coding RNA, 281 nt
Organism: Calidris pugnax (ruff)
Lineage: Eukaryota; Metazoa; Chordata; Aves; Charadriiformes; Scolopacidae
Exons: 3
Source: RefSeq, a predicted model, not a curated record